GACGAACGCUGGCGGCGUGCUUAACACAUGCCAGUCGAACGGAAAGGCCCUGCUUUUGUGGGGUGCUCGAGUGGCGAACGGGUGAGUAACACGUGAGUAACCUGCCCUUGACUUUGGGAUAACUUCAGGAAACUGGGGCUAAUACCGGAUAGGAGCUCCUGCUGCAUGGUGGGGGUUGGAAAGUUUCGGCGGUUGGGGAUGGACUCGCGGCUUAUCAGCUUGUUGGUGGGGUAGUGGCUUACCAAGGCUUUGACGGGUAGCCGGCCUGAGAGGGUGACCGGCCACAUGGGGACUGAGAUACGGCCCAGACUCCUACGGGAGGCAGCAGGGGGGAAUAUUGCACAAUGGGCGGAAGCCUGAUGCAGCAACGCCGCGUGCGGGAUGACGGCCUUCGGGUUGUAAACCGCUUUCGCCUGUGACGAAGCGUGAGUGACGGUAAUGGGUAAAGAAGCACCGGCUAACUACGUG
This 468-nucleotide ribosomal RNA is filed under the name uncultured bacterium. Its description in RNAcentral is "partial 16S ribosomal RNA". It matches the Rfam family "Bacterial small subunit ribosomal RNA", at positions 28 to 507 of the family's 1533-position model. The record is from RNAcentral.